GACGAACGCUGUCGGCGUGCUUAACACAUGCAAGUCGAACGGAAAGGCCCUGCUUUUGUGGGGUGCUCGAGUGGCGAACGGGUGAGUAACACGUGAGUAACCUGCCCUUGACUUUGGGAUAACUUCAGGAAACUGGGGCUAAUACCGGAUAGGAGCUCCUGCUGCAUGGUGGGGGUUGGAAAGUUUCGGCGGUUGGGGAUGGACUCGCGGCUUAUCAGCUUGUUGGUGGGGUAGUGGCUUACCAAGGCUUUGACGGGUAGCCGGCCUGAGAGGGUGACCGGCCACAUUGGGACUGAGAUACGGCCCAGACUCCUACGGGAGGCAGCAGUGGGGAAUAUUGCACAAUGGGCGGAAGCCUGAUGCAGCAACGCCGCGUGCGGGAUGACGGCCUUCGGGUUGUAAACCGCUUUCGCCUGUGACGAAGCGUGAGUGACGGUAAUGGGUAAAGAAGCACCGGCUAACUACGUGCCAGCAGCCGCGGUGAUACGUAGGGUGCGAGCGUUGUCCGGAUUUAUUGGGCGUAAAGGGCUCGUAGGUGGUUGAUCGCGUCGGAAGUGUAAUCUUGGGGCUUAACCCUGAGCGUGCUUUCGAUACGGGUUGACUUGAGGAAGGUAGGGGAGAAUGGAAUUCCUGGUGGAGCGGUGGAAUGCGCAGAUAUCAGGAGGAACACCAGUGGCGAAGGCGGUUCUCUGGGCCUUUCCUGGCGCUGAGGAGCGAAAGCGUGGGGAGCGAACAGGCUUAGAUACCCUGGUAGUCCACGCUGUAAACGGUGGGUACUAGGUGUGGGGUCCAUUCCACGGGUUCCGUGCCGUAGCUAACGCUUUAAGUACCCCGCCUGGGGAGUACGGCCGCAAGGCUAAAACUCAAAGGAAUUGACGGGGCCCCGCACAAGCGGCGGAGCAUGCGGAUUAAUUCGAUGCAACGCGUAGAACCUUACCUGGGUUUGACAUGGAUCGGGAGUGCUCAGAGAUGGGUGUGCCUCUUUUGGGGUCGGUUCACAGGUGGUGCAUGGCUGUCGUCAGCUCGUGUCGUGAGAUGUUGGGUUAAGUCCCGCAACGAGCGCAACCCUUGUUCACUGUUGCCAGCACGUUAUGGUGGGGACUCAGUGGAGACCGCCGGGGUCAACUCGGAGGAAGGUGGGGAUGACGUCAAGUCAUCAUGCCCCUUAUGUCCAGGGCUUCACGCAUGCUACAAUGGCUGGUACAGAGAGUGGCGAGCCUGUGAGGGUGAGCGAAUCUCGGAAAGCCGGUCUCAGUUCGGAUUGGGGUCUGCAACUCGACCUCAUGAAGUCGGAGUCGCUAGUAAUCGCAGAUCAGCAACGCUGCGGUGAAUACGUUCCCGGG
RNAcentral lists this ribosomal RNA (1343 nucleotides) under uncultured bacterium. RNAcentral's name for it is "16S ribosomal RNA". It matches the Rfam family "Bacterial small subunit ribosomal RNA", at positions 28 to 1378 of the family's 1533-position model. The record is from RNAcentral.